RNAcentral lists this ribosomal RNA (200 nucleotides) under uncultured bacterium. Its description in RNAcentral is "partial 16S ribosomal RNA". It matches the Rfam family "Bacterial small subunit ribosomal RNA", at positions 30 to 234 of the family's 1533-position model. The record is from RNAcentral.
AUUGAACGCUGGCGGCAGGCUUAACACAUGCAAGUCGAGCGCGAAAGUUCUUCGGAAUGAGUAAAGCGGCGGACGGGUGAGUAAUACAUGGGAAUCUGCCUGGUAGUGGGGGACAACGUUUCGAAAGGAGCGCUAAUACCGCAUACGCCCUACGGGGAAAGGGGGGAGUCGCAAGACCUCUCGCUAUCAGAUGAGCCCAU